GCCCAAGCCCAGCAGACAACCGCCCGACGUCACACUUAUGCCGCUCGGCGGUUUCCCUCAAGCCGCGCUACCGCCCGGCGACAGGGGUUUACCACCCGGCGGUUUCCCCCAAGUCGCGCCACCGUCGGGCGGCAGGGGUCUUCCGCCCGACGGUUUGCCUCUAAUCGCAAAUCCGCCCAGCGUCCACGCCUGGUGCCAAC
Molecule: long non-coding RNA, 200 nt
Filed under: Vigna radiata
Lineage: Eukaryota; Viridiplantae; Streptophyta; Magnoliopsida; Fabales; Fabaceae
Description: long non-coding RNA (VRAD_LNC014694)
Source: RNAcentral